This 450-nucleotide ribosomal RNA is filed under the name uncultured bacterium. RNAcentral's name for it is "partial 16S ribosomal RNA". It matches the Rfam family "Bacterial small subunit ribosomal RNA", at positions 354 to 796 of the family's 1533-position model. The record is from RNAcentral.
GUCGAGAAUAAUUCACAAUGGGGGCAACCCUGAUGGUGCAACGCCGCGUGGAGGAUGAAGGUCUUCGGAUUGUAAACUCCUGUCAUCCGGGAGCAAGACCUGGCCGUGAAUAGCGGACAGGGUUGAUAGUACCGGAAGAGGAAGGGACGGCUAACUUCGUGCCAGCAGCCGCGGUAAUACGAAGGUCCCGAGCGUUGUUCGGAAUCACUGGGCGUAAAGGGAGCGUAGGCGGCGCGGUAAGUCAGAUGUGAAAUCCUAGGGCUCAACCCUGGAACUGCAUCCGAUACUGCUGUGCUUGAGCAAUGGAGAGGUAGCCGGAAUUCUCGGUGUAGCAGUGAAAUGCGUAGAUAUCGAGAGGAACACUCGUGGCGAAAGCGGGCUACUGGACAUUUGCUGACGCUGAGGCUCGAAGGCCGGGGGAGCGAAAGGGAUUAGAUACCCGGGUAGUCC